This 8557-nucleotide long non-coding RNA is filed under the name Chlamydomonas reinhardtii. Its description in RNAcentral is "long non-coding RNA (CREI_LNC001163)". Lineage: Eukaryota; Viridiplantae; Chlorophyta; Chlorophyceae; Chlamydomonadales; Chlamydomonadaceae. The record is from RNAcentral.
UGCAUCACCAGUUACACGCUACGACUGACACUCCGGACCCUGCCCGGCUACACCGCUAUAACCCAAGCAAGGGCAACCGGACCGCCCGCCGCACGCAAAACCCACAGCCACGACCAUUGAGAUUUCCACUGUAUCCGGGGCCACGCCGCAUGCGCCCGCCAAGCAACCACCACCACUCGCCUGUAGUGCGUGGCUGUUUGUUGAGAAACGGGGCAGCAGGCAAAGCACACAGCUCCACGCAGAAAGCCGGCAUACACUCAACCCGCACCGAAUAAUAGCAUCUGUCUCUAGCCGUGCUGCCGCAUGACACACCCAGUUACUGAACACAGUAGUGACUUGCGUGGCCCAACCACGCCCGCGCGGUUGUCGCCCGCCCCGCCCGAGCUGUGCGGGGUGGCUUCCCCUUCCCCCGCGCGCCUGCAGAAGACCUCUUCCCCCGCAGCCCGCGGUGACCACUGCUGCCCCCGCACCCACUCACGACACGGCCGCUGCCAGUCCAACGCGCCACGCCGCGCUUAGGCCCGAGCGCCACCAGCGUCCGCCGCUGCCGCUGCUGCUGCCGCCUCCUCCAACGCCGUUGCUGCUACUGCCGCAGUCGCCGCGACUACGCCGCUGCUGCUGCCGCCGAUGCCGCCGCGCCGGGGAGCGCCACCACCACGCCAAGCCGGCCCGGGCCCGGGCCCUCUGACGAGCAACCCAAACCCGAAGCCGGAGACGCCGCAGGUGCUGCUGAUGGCGGGAGCCGCUUACGAGGCCUCCUCCUUGGCAGCCUCCUUGGCCUUCUUGGCGCGGGGGCCCACCUGCCGUACGUUCAUGCGCUCCAGGCGCAGCUUGGCGUAGGCGGUGGCCUUGAUCUCGGCCAGCUCCUUGCCCGCGGUGGCCUUCAUCUCGCUGGUGACCUUGACGGUCUCCAGCGCCGGCGCGGCCUUGACCAGGGGCAGGACCACGGCGCCCUUGACCUGGGCGACCGCGUUCGCCUCGGCCAGAGGGGUCUCGAAAGCCUUCGGCUUCUUGACGUUGCGCGGGAAGACGACCAGGUUGCUGCGGUAAGCCUUCAGACGCUGAGCGUUCUCCUGCAGGCUCUCCAGCGACUUGUUGCGGCGGCGGUGGUCGAUGGCGAUGCCCAGGCUGGCCGCCAUGCGCACAGGGAUCCCAGCCUCCUUCAGCUCGUCCAGGGUGAAGCCCUUGCCAAUGCGCUGCUUGGUGUUGUACUUCAGGGUCUGGCCGCGAACAAUGGGGCGCAGCAGGCCGGCGGCCGGGCGAGGGAACUGAGCCUCGGCCUUCUUAGCGCGAGCAGCCCGGCGGCGCUCCUUGCGAGCAGGCUGGUUGAACCAAGUCUUCACAUAGAACUGCCACUUCUUCUUGAAGUGGUUGUUCGGGACAACGUUGUUGUGCCGCACCAUUUUUGCUCAGUGACUGCAGUGAGUGUGGCGGCGGCGCCUGGAAAGAGGGAGUGUAUGUGCAGGCAGGGCGUGUAUAUCGGCGCGGCCAUCGGGCGCUGCACGGCAGCGCGAUGCUGCGAGUUUGCCUGCGCUCGCUGCCCCCCGAUUUCGGCUGCCACAAACCUUGCCCCCUGCGCGCUCUGCACAUACUAUUGAAACCUCCCCACAAAGGCCUAUCUAGCCAUGAAUUUCUUAGGGCCUGCCUCGCUGCCCUGGAGAAAUCAGGAGGUCGCUCCUUGCUGGAGCCCUUAAUUUCACCCAUUGCUGGCACGAACGGGGUUAUAACGAGCUAAGGGUGUAUUCCUAAUUUUUAGAGGCCUGAAAGGCGCCUUCCCCGGGUUGAGGCAUUCUGUAUUUGGGUUCGGUGCGGACAGGAAAGGCAGGCAUGUGGAACCUUUUCCUGCGUAAUCUUAGGUGCAAAUAGCGCCUGAAAUGCUUGGCCAAGCUUUUGGGUCCGCCUUCGGCGGCACGAAUGCUGGCAAGAAUGGCCGUCGCGGUGUUGCGAACAACGUGUCGACGGCAAGGGGUAGUCUGCAAUGGCUGUGGGAGGCUACUCAGGGGCACUGAGCGCAUCGGUGCGCGAACAGGCGCUUGCACCGGGGGUUUACUAGUGACCGGGUGCCACAGACUCCGCAGACCCCGACUCCCACGCCACUCCUUCCCUGCUCCGUGCCAAACGCCUGUCCAUGUCAUGGAGUCACCUGCUUCUACUGUGCUGCCACACAGCUGUAAGCACGCACGGUUCAGGCCUACGGGGCACGGCGUGUGAGCAUGCGCGGGCAUGGGCGCGGGCGUGCGUGCCUGCGUGGCAGCCUGCCCCCGGCCGCAUUGUGCUGCCACGCACAGUCACUUCUAGCCCAGAUCCAGCUCCAGUCAGCCAGCAAGCCCAAGGUCCCAUCGGCCCAUCCCACCUAGCAUCUGUGUGUAUUUGGGGGGGGCGGCACCGUGCCGCCUGUGCCCUGCAAGCCCUACCCUGUAGCUUGGCCCUGCUGCCCCCCCUGCCCCCCUGCCCUACCUGUGGCCUGGCCCCGCUGCGGCUGCGCCAAGCUCUUCCCCCGCUCCAAGGCCCCACGGCCCCACCCAUGCCACGCCACCUCAGCUCACAAGUGCCCGUGGCUCCUGCAUCCCAAGCGCUGCAACACCCGCGGCUUGCCCGCCACGGACGCACGUCCACGCAUCUCAUCCCCACAAUCCCCAGCCAACACAGCAGGGGUUAUGUGCCCGAGCCCAACGAGAUAGGUCCCAAUAGUCAAGGCAUUGCCGCAGCAAAGGUGAGCAGGCAUGGCCUUUUCCUCCCCUCAUGCCUCGGCUACGUAGCUGCAAGCCGAGCCGCCAGCUACCAAUAGUCAGCAGAUCAUCGCAGCAGGGGCGAGCCGGCGUGGCCUUUGCACUCCUCAGGCUAGCUGCACGCCGAGCCACCGAGCGUAGCCAAAUUCCUCAGCCGACGUACAAAGCAGGCACGGUCUUUCCAGUUUCCACCCAUCUGCUAAGAGGUUGCAGCCCGAGCCGCUGAGAGCGCAACCACCCACAUUCCGGCCCACGUCAUACAUGCCCCUGUCCCCGUGCGCACACGCUUCCUUCCGACCUCGGCUUUCCUCCAGCAGACGUGCUCCUGAACUGCUCCUGAACUCACACGGAGUGCCGUGCGUGCCUUGCUGUUCGUUUCGCCGAACCGCGCUCUGCCCCCAUACACACGCGUCUAAAACCCUGAGGCCAGCGCACAUGCGUGCCUUCUGGGCGGCAUUGACAGCAGCCAAGCCCUGGGGUCCUCCUGUGAAACACAUUACUUCCAGCCAUCCUAACGGACGCACACUCCCCACAGCACAGAAUCAGCGUUACCCCCAGCCAAGGCCCGGCAUAAUCUCAAGGCAGGCAACGGAGCGCCUGCAACCACCUACAUCUACCGAUAGAAAACUCCAUGCUAUCGUGGACCAGAGUUGAUCGUUGUGCCUUCAGUGUCUUUUAAUACCGUACUAUCGCACCCGCCCCGACCAUGGUGCGCAUCAAACCGGUGCGCUGAGGGCGGAGGGCUGAGGCAGCCGCACCUGCAUCCGCCACGGCAAGGCACGGCACGGCGUGUGCUCUCCCGUGCGGGAUGCCACGUGGGCCCGAACGUCUGGCUGGGGUCUGGCGGUGCGCCCACACCCCGGCCUCUUUCCACACAUACAAAUGCACUCGCCCACAGACACCCGUCCCCAACACGCUGCCCAGCCGCUCCAAGCUCCAGCCGCUUCAUGCUCAAGAUGGCGAUCCACCCAGACGCUCAGGCCUCCCUAGCAGUUCAGCUCGACAGACGCCCGGGCCGCCGUAGUACUUCGGCCGCGCUAGCUGUUCAGGCCGCCCUAGCAGUUAUUGACGAUGCCCUAAGCAACUCAAUGCAAACAGUUCAUCCGCCCCUACAGUCCAGCCGCCCUAGCAGUUCGGCUGCGCUAGCUGUUCAGCCGAUCAAGCCGCCCAGCUCUCGCAUGUGUUGCAGGUCCCAUGGGCGGGCACGGUGGUGGGCGGAGUUGGCGCGGACGACUUGUAUCCGGCGCAUGUGCCGGGCGGGCUUGCGGCAGCAAUCUCCCUCCGUCCCACCCGCGCGCGCGCGCGCUCCCUCCGAAGGCAGCCGCUCGGGCGUCGGGGCGGGUCGGCCACGCGCCCACGGGUCGCAACGCACGGAUCCAAAACGGAACCUCCUGCGGUCACCAAGUCCGGAUUCCGUGCAGAUUUCAGCAUGCGUGUGCUUUAAAUCAUCAUUCAGCUCACGUCAUGUGGGGUGUGGCAUCGCGGGCGUGUUAAUUAUUACCGUACGUACUUGCCCCCUGCUGUGUCGAGGAUGGACAGCAGGGGGGCGACGCAGCAGGCCCGGAUUGGGGCUACUGCUGCACGGACGGCACACACCUCGCAUAAACAAAGCGCACACGUACCGUAAAUAGGCGGCUGCGCGCGGACCACCCCACCCGCCCCACCGAACCCCACGACCCAUCCCCGUCAUCGCCCGCAGGCGUCACUGGCCACUGUCGUACACACCCUGUCGUACCAUGGGGCUCGGCAACGUCGUAAACACGUUGUUUCAUACCCUGAAAGCAGCUGGGUGUGAGGCCGGCUGCGCCUCACCCCGCACGAAGGUGCCAGAACAGGAUCACAGGAUUUUUGCUCUGUUGUACGGCUUCGCCCGUGGUGACCGGCUCUCGCCCGCCAGCCAGCCAGGCUCCGAGAGCGCUGCUGGCGGCCGGCCGUGUUGUAUCCCUUGGCUUGAGGCUGGCGCUGGGGCUGGGGCUGGGGCUGGGGCUGGGGCUGGGGCUGGGGCUGGGGCUGGGUUGGGGCUGGGGCUGGGGCUGGGGCUGGGGCUGGGGCUGGGGCUGGGGCUGGGAGGAGGUGAAGGCGUGUGGGUGCCGGUGUUCGUGUCGGCGGAAGGAGGCGGGCGCGAAGGACGCGACAGACGGGCGCCGGCGCCGGCUGCAACAGGCAGGGCGAGAUGGGUCAGGCGGGGUCAGGGCAGGUUGGCGCAGCCCCGUAGUGUGCAGCAGGGGGACAUAGGGGACACACAUGGGGGCGGAGGUAUGGGCAACGGAGUGGGCCCUGGGCUGGCUGUGGUUUUAGUGCGGCGUGCGGGAAAGAAGACAGCGCUUCGCAUGGUUGUGGCAGCAGGGGGGGUUUGGUGGGGUGAGGCGUGUGGUACUCACCAGCGUUUGCGGGUGCAACCGUGCCCAACAGCAAUACGGCCGGUGUGCCGACCGCGAGAGCUCCGAGCGCGAUCGCCUCCCGGCGAUUGAUUGAAGCCAGCAUCUUUUCAUACUUGUGAGGAGAUCCUGCUACAAGUAUUCGACAUGCUCGCGGCGCCGGCUGCGCACGCGACGGAAGUAAGGAAUUCUGGGCUCGGCAUCCCGGGUGUUUCGCGACGGAAUACUGCAGCGCCCCCAAGCGGCACGGCAGCGGCAUUUUGUGAGUCGAAGUGCAAUUAAUAAGAACAGUGGAAGUGGCGUGCCUUUGUAGUCGACAGGAUUCUGCCAUCUGUCGCUUUCAUGGCCAGGCAUGGUCCCCUGGCCCACCGGGAGUUGCACAUGGUCCCACUGCAGUGGUCCCACUCCCAGGCUUCUUGACAAUACUAUUUCCCACCAUUCUGUUGCAUUGACACCCCGUUACCCCCCGUCGUGACAGGCUUGCGCCGUGGCGGAAGCGUGUCAGUGAGACAGGCGUAAGGCCACUGGGCCAGCCUUCCGCCCAAACCUUUGCCCCCGUCUGCCCUCAUGCCGCGCCGGAGACCCCGCCCGCCUGUUCUGUUGCACAUGGGUGCAGUACCUCAUCAGGAGGACCGACAGAGCGAGUCCCAACCGCCAUAGCAGUACUAACCGCCAGCACUCGCCCGCAGCAGGGGCACCUAUCGCACCUGAAGCACCAUUCGGCGGCCUCCGUAAUUAUGUGUGCCCAAAGCACACUGUCCCCCCGCAACGUCGCGCCCAACAAUAUUCGACCCCCUCCCCCCCCCCCCGCCAUGCAGUCCAGCCCGUCCACCGGCAACCCACCGCCGCCGCUUGGCUCGGCGCCCCCAUGCUGGCGGCUCCACCCUCCACCCGCCAUUCACCACACUGCAACACUGCCGGGCACAGACCUAACCCCAGCCCUGCCCUUGCUCUCCCCAUGCUCAACCGCGUCACACCACGGCCCACAUCAGUGCAUCGCAGUCUGCGCGGCAGCACCCACUAGCGAACCCGCUCACCCUCGCACAUGCACCCGCUUCGCGUGGGGCCCUGGGGCCCUUGGGCUGCCCAUCGCUGUCCACACACACACACACACACACACACACACACACACACACACACGCACACACACACACACACACACACACACACACACACACACACACACACACACACACACACACACACACACACACACACACACACACACACACACACACACACACACACACACACACACACACACACACACACACACACACACACACACACACACACACACACACACACACACACACACACACACACACACACACACACACACACACACACACACACACACACACACACACAACCGUAUGCCGUCGCGUUGCUUUAACGCACACACUGUCUUUAACACAGAACGGUGUGAGCCGCCACGGCAUACACCUCGCUCACCACGCGCCCGACCCGCCCCACCCCAAGCUGCCGCCGCCGCCGCCGCCGCCGGCGCCGCCGCCGCCGCCAGCACCACCACCGCCCCAGCCGGCUCCCAUGGCAGUGACCGACCCCCCGCCGCCGCCGGCGCCGCCGCCGCCGCCGUGGUGGCGGUGGCGGUGCGCGCCGCCGGCGCCGCCGCCGCCCGCCGCCAGCUCCGCCACCCCCUCAAUGAGCGCCAUCUCCGCCGCCCGGUGCAUCAGGGCCAAGGCGUCCGCAGACCAGGCCAGCGGCUCGGCGCCAGCGGUGGCGGCGGCGCCAGGGGCGGGUGCGAUGCCGCCAGGGGCAGUUUCAGGCGCUGCUGCCGGGACGGCGGUCGCGCCCGCAGGGCCGCCGGUGUCGCCAGCGGCGGCGGCGGCGGCAUCGGCCGGCGGCUGUCGCUGCCGCGUCGCCGCCAGCCGCGCUGCCUCGGCGGCGGCGGCCUGCCCCGCCGCCUCCGCCGCCGCUAGUGCUGAGUAACGCCGCGCUGGCGACGCCGACGCCACGCCCAUGGCCGGCGGCGGGAUCCUGGCGGCGUUGGCAGCGGCAGUGGCGGCGCCGCCGCCUGCCCCCGGCGCCGCCACCGCCGGCGCCGCCGGUGCGACCUGAGCGGUAUCAGCAGCACCGCCGCCUGGCGACGAGGGUGCCACGGGGGCGGCAGCGCCUGGCACCGCCGCCGCCGCCGCCACUGCUACUGCCGGGCCAUUUGCGCCGCCGCCGCCGCCGCUGCUACUGCCGCCGGCGGCGGCUGCCUCGCGCUGGGCCUGCACCGCCUCCCAGGCCUCGGCGAACAGGCCCAAGAACGCCGAGCGCGGCAGGCAGGUCGGCAACUCGCUGAAGCUACAGCCGGCUAGGCGGCUGCUGCCGCCGCCGCUGCUACUGCCGCCGCCGCCGCCUAGCACGGUCACAAACUCAUCCACAUACUCCUCGUCCAACUCCUGCUCCCCAUCAUCGUCAUCGUGGUCGCCGGCGGCCUCCGCCUCCGCCCCACUCGCCUCCGCCGCCUCACUCGCCGCCCCGCCCUGCAGCUUGCUGCCGCUGCUGCCGCCGCCGCCGUACAGCACGGCGCCAAUGUCGCGGCACAGCGCCGCCGCCGCCGCCACGUCAGCCACCUCCAGCAGCCGCGGCUGUAGCGCCGCCAGCCAGCCUGCGUCGGGGCGCACCGCCGCCGCUACAGCCUCCGACAGCGCCGCCGCCGCCGCCACGUCCGUGGCGGCGGCGGCGGCGGUUGGCGCAGCAGCGGCGUCAGCUUCAGUGCUAGGUUUGGCGGCAGCGGUGGCUGCAGCAGCUGCCGCUGCUGCUACUGCCGCAGCGGCGGCGGCGCCUGCUACAGCCGAGUCGCCGGGCUGCCGCCACCAUACGGGCACCUGGAGGUGGUAGAUCCGGAUGAGGGCUGUAGCAAGCCCCGGGUUGGACAGCCGCGCAGCGUGCGCCAGCGCCGCCGGCUGUAGCAGCGGCCGCAGCCGCGGCGGCAGUAGCGCCGCCAGCAGCUCGCAGCGCAGCGCGCCGCCGAACGCCAUCGCCGCAACGUCGGACGGCGGCGGCAGCGCCGGCGGCGGCUGUAGCAGCUCCAGCAACUCCGCUACUUCGUCGCCGUCGUCGCCAUUAUCGCCAGUGGCGGCGGCGGCGGCGGCGGCGGCGGCGGGGGCGGCAGCGGCAGUAGCACGCGGCAGCGUCUCUGACGCCGCCUCGCCGCCGCGACCGCCGCUCAGCGACCAGCGCUGGCCGCUGUUGCUCAGCCUGCUGAUGCUGCCGCUGUCCGUGGCAGUAGCACGCCUGCCGGCGGCGCCCUCGCCGCCGCCGUGUUGCACACCCGCAGCCGACGCCACCGCUGCGUCGGCGGCGCCGGUGUAAGCGGCGCGCAGCGUCGCCGCCGCCAGCUUGACGCGCGUGUCAAAGGGGAGGCGGCGGCGGACGCGGCACGACAGAUCAUGACAGCUCGGGCACUGGUGGCCGGACCAGUAAGAGCAGGCCGGC